AGUAUGUUAGCUUAAUUGGUUAAGCAUUGUGUUUCGGCCACAAGGAUUAUAAGUUCGAAUCUUAUACAUACUU
RNAcentral lists this transfer RNA (73 nucleotides) under Lecanora strobilina. RNAcentral describes it as "tRNA-Arg". It matches the Rfam family "tRNA". From Rfam's summary of the family: Transfer RNA (tRNA) molecules are approximately 80 nucleotides in length. Their secondary structure includes four short double-helical elements and three loops (D, anti-codon, and T loops). The record is from RNAcentral. Lineage: Eukaryota; Fungi; Ascomycota; Lecanoromycetes; Lecanorales; Lecanoraceae.